Molecule: ribosomal RNA, 439 nt
Filed under: uncultured bacterium
Lineage: Bacteria
Description: bacterial SSU rRNA
Rfam family: Bacterial small subunit ribosomal RNA
Source: RNAcentral
AACGCGAAGAACCUUACCUGGCCUUGACAUGCAUUGGACAGAGUGUGAAAGCACUCCUUCCUUCGGGACCGGUGCACAGGUGCUGCAUGGCUGUCGUCAGCUCGUGUCGUGAGAUGUUCGGUUAAGUCCGGCAACGAGCGCAACCCUUGUCUUUAGUUGCCAGCGGGUAAUGCCGGGGACUCUAAAGAGACAAACCUAUUUUAUAGGUGGGAAGGUGGGGACGACGUCAAGUCAGUAUGGCCCUUACGGCCAGGGCUGCACGCGUGCUACAAUGCCUAGUACAAUGGGAAGCAAAAUCGCGAGAUGGAGCAAAUCCACAAAACUAGGCCCAGUUCAGAUUGGAGUCUGCAACUCGACUCCAUGAAGUUGGAAUCGCUAGUAAUGGCGCAUCAGCUACGGCGCCGUGAAUACGUUCCCGGGCCUUGUACACACCGGCUAC